Non-coding RNA from Potamilus streckersoni, 77 nucleotides. NCBI's taxonomy places the organism in Eukaryota, Metazoa, Mollusca, Bivalvia, Unionida, Unionidae. The record is from the annotation of a GenBank genome assembly.
AACUACUCCAGUGGCUUAGUGGUUAGAGAGUCCACCUCGGAUGCGAAAGGUCAUGGGUUCGAUCCCUGGCAGAGUCA